UCUUCGUAGGUGAACCUGCGGAGGGAUCAUUACUGAGUGAGGGCUUCGGUCCGUCCUCCAACCCUUUGUGAACCAAACUUGUUGCUUCGGGGGCGACCCUGCCGCCUCGGCGGUGCGGCGCCCCCGGAGGCCAUUAAACACUGCAUCAUUGCGUCGGAGUUAAAGUAAAUUAAACAAAACUUUCAGCUACGGAUCUCUUGGUUCCAGCAUCGAUGAAGAACGCAGC
This 226-nucleotide unclassified non-coding RNA is filed under the name uncultured fungus. Its description in RNAcentral is "sequence contains ITS1, 5.8S rRNA gene". The stretch from base 178 to 226 matches the Rfam family "5.8S ribosomal RNA", at positions 1 to 49 of the family's 154-position model. Lineage: Eukaryota; Fungi. The record is from RNAcentral.